CGGGGGGCAGCAGUGGGGAAUAUUGGGCAAUGGACGAAAGUCUGACCCAGCGACGCCGCGUGAGGGAUGAAGGCCUUCGGGUUGUAAACCUCUUUCAGUAGGGAAGAAGCGAAAGUGACGGUACCUAAAGAAGAAGCACCGGCUAACUAUGUGCCAGCAGCCGCGGUAAUACAUAGGGUGCAAGCGUUGUCCGGAAUUAUUGGGCGUAAAGAGCUCGUAGGUGGUUUGUUGCGUCGGGUGUGAAAUUCAGGGGCUCAACCCCUGACCUGCACUCGAUACGGGCAAGCUAGAGUUUGGUAGGGGAGACUGGAAUUCCUGGUGUAGCGGUGGAAUGCGCAGAUAUCAGGAGGAACACCAAUGGCGAAGGCAGGUCUCUGGGCCAAUACUGACACUGAGGAGCGAAAGCGCGGGGAGCGAACAGGAUUAGAUACCCGAGU
Molecule: ribosomal RNA, 437 nt
Filed under: uncultured Actinomycetales bacterium
Lineage: Bacteria; Bacillati; Actinomycetota; Actinomycetes; Actinomycetales
Description: bacterial SSU rRNA
Rfam family: Bacterial small subunit ribosomal RNA
Source: RNAcentral